Molecule: ribosomal RNA, 253 nt
Filed under: uncultured bacterium
Lineage: Bacteria
Description: partial 16S ribosomal RNA
Rfam family: Bacterial small subunit ribosomal RNA
Source: RNAcentral
UACGUAGGGGGCAAGCGUUGUCCGGAUUUACUGGGCGUAAAGAGCGUGUAGGCGGCCAAACAGGUCCGUUGUGAAAACUGGAGGCUCAACCUCCAGACGUCGACGGAAACCGUGUGGCUAGAGUCCGGAAGAGGAGAGUGGAAUUCCUGGUGUAGCGGUGAAAUGCGCAGAUAUCAGGAAGAACACCAAUGGUGAAGGCAGCUCUCUGGGACGGUACUGACGCUGAGACGCGAAAGCGUGGGGAGCGAACAGG